UCAAAUGAUGAAUUCUGUUAUUCACACUGUUUGAUCUGUGCAUACCCUGUACGGAAAUGAACAUCACUUACAAAAAAUCUGAUUUAAUGAGGUUGGUU
RNAcentral lists this small nucleolar RNA (98 nucleotides) under Aspergillus rambellii. The record is from RNAcentral. Lineage: Eukaryota; Fungi; Ascomycota; Eurotiomycetes; Eurotiales; Aspergillaceae.